UAAACAGAUCAGGGAUUGCAAAUGAGCUC
This 29-nucleotide non-coding RNA is filed under the name Homo sapiens (human). Lineage: Eukaryota; Metazoa; Chordata; Mammalia; Primates; Hominidae. The record is from RNAcentral.